Molecule: non-coding RNA, 112 nt
Organism: Acanthosepion pharaonis
Lineage: Eukaryota; Metazoa; Mollusca; Cephalopoda; Sepiida; Sepiidae
Source: the annotation of a GenBank genome assembly
UUACGGCCAUAUUAUGUUGAAACUACCAGUUUCCAUAUGAUCAUUGAAGUUAAGCAAUGUUGAGCCAGGUUUGUAUCUAGAUGGGUGACUGCUUUGGAAUACCAUGUGCAGU